Molecule: ribosomal RNA, 296 nt
Filed under: uncultured bacterium
Lineage: Bacteria
Description: partial 16S ribosomal RNA
Rfam family: Bacterial small subunit ribosomal RNA
Source: RNAcentral
GGAUUAGAUACCCUGGUAGUCCACGCCCUAAACGAUGUCAACUAGUUGUUGGUAGAGUAAAAUCUAUGAGUAACGCAGCUAACGCGUGAAGUUGACCGCCUGGGGAGUACGAUCGCAAGAUUAAAACUCAAAUGAAUUGACGGGGGCCCGCACAAGCGGUGGAUUAUGUGGAUUAAUUCGAUGCAACGCGAAAAACCUUACCUGGCCUUGACAUGUACCGAAUUUGGGAGAGAUUCCUUAGUGCUCGAAAGAGAACGGUAACACAGGUGCUGCAUGGCUGUCGUCAGCUCGUGCCG